Molecule: ribosomal RNA, 250 nt
Filed under: uncultured bacterium
Lineage: Bacteria
Description: partial 16S ribosomal RNA
Rfam family: Bacterial small subunit ribosomal RNA
Source: RNAcentral
GAUCCUGGCUCAGGACGAACGCUGGCGGCGUGCUUAACACAUGCAAGUCGAACGCUGAAGCCUAGCUUGCUGGGUGGAUGAGUGGCGAACGGGUGAGUAACACGUGAGUAACCUGCCCUCUUCUUUGGGAUAACGCCCGGAAACGGGUGCUAAUACUGGAUAUUCACUGGCUUUCGCAUGGGGGUUGGUGGAAAGGUUUUUUCUGGUGGGGGAUGGGCUCGCGGCCUAUCAGCUUGUUGGUGGGUGAUGG